This 254-nucleotide ribosomal RNA is filed under the name uncultured bacterium. Its description in RNAcentral is "partial 16S ribosomal RNA". It matches the Rfam family "Bacterial small subunit ribosomal RNA", at positions 524 to 776 of the family's 1533-position model. The record is from RNAcentral.
CACGGGGGGAGCAAGCGUUGUUCGGAAUCACUGGGCGUAAAGGGCGUGUAGGCGGUCAGGUAAGUGAGACGUGAAAUGCCCCGGCUUACCCGGGGACCUGCGUCUCAUACUGCUUGGCUUGAGUACGGGAGAGGGUGUGGGAAUUCCUGGUGUAGCGGUGAAAUGCGUAGAUAUCGGGAGGAACACCAGUGGCGAAGGCGACUACCUGGCCUGUUUCUUGACGCUGAGGCGCGAAAGCUAGGGGAGCAAACGGG